ACUUAAAGCAGCUCCUUAAAUAACUACAAUCCCCCACCUCUUUUUUUUUUUUUUUGGACCAUCUCAUACUCAUUAAUUCUUUAUAAAUAAAUAUAUGUAGAUAGACACAGACAUGCACAGAUGUUAAAGUAUCUAUUUAUAUAGAGAAGGAAACACCCUGUGGAGACUCUGGGACUUGCCAGGAAAAGCUACUCUCCGGGAAUCUAUUCUGCUCUAACUUCCUCUCCUGAGUCCAAUGGCUGGAAGCCUUCAUUCCUGACUUCCUUGCUCGCUCACUGUCUUUCUUCUCUUUUCAUAAUUUCCUCCUCCACCUCAAGAGGCUCCAGCCCUGAAGCCAUGCACGACUGUAGCUCCUAUCUUUGGGGUUUGGUCCAAUACCCCAUUUUUCAAAGGCAUGGGAGUCCGGCUCUUUUCAGAGUUGGUCUGGAUCACAGAGCUGUGAUGAGAAAAGUGCAUCAUGGGUGCGGAACUUCAGGGGGGAAGGAUAAUGAGUUUGUUGUGACGUGGUUAUUUUCUUAGAUCGUACAACCAACGUGGUAAUGCUGGCAUAAUAAUUCCCGGUUGCCAUUUUCUGACAUUUGAAAAGAUCUGAAGAUACGCCCCUUGGAUGCCUGCAGAGAAGCUCUGGGGCUUCAGUCAAUGACUCAGGGUAGCCACCGAACAUGAUGCUCGGGCAGUGGGUGCCACCUGGACUCCACUCUCCCCUCUCUCUGGGAUCAUAGAGUCCAAGGUGUUCUGUGGCCUCUCGGCCAAUCCCAGCAGCUCAGCGUGCAGAAGACCGAGGAGCCAUUGGUCAGUGUAGGAGGUGCCUGGAGUUUUGGAGAUGGGAUCCACAGGAAUUCAACACAACACGAAAUAAUCAACAAAUUCGGGGAAUGUUAAUCUGACCAUCACCAGUUACAAAUGAUGUUUCAUGCUACCUUCUAUUCCUGCCUUCAUAAAUCAAGCUCUAAAUCUCCAGGAAAAAAUGUGCUCAGGAUGGCCAGAGAAAUGUCCUUCCAACUGUGCAUGGAAAGCAAGGACAGCAAAGCCUUCCAGACCUGCCUGUGACAUGCACUGCACAUUCUAAAGAUGCCUAUGCAAUGGAAAACACCACUGUCUGCUCCAGCACAGCUGCCAUUCUUCCAUCUUAUCGACCUUAAUGCAACAACUCCUCACAGGCAGAGAUUUUAAAAUGUGUUCUUGGCAGAAGAGAGACUCAAAGAUGGGACAAAUGUGUCAUUUAAAUGCCUGUUAAAAUGGAAACAGACAUAGUAUAGUCAGAGGAUUGUGGCAGCUAAGAACAUAGUCUCUGGAGCAAAUCUGCAUGGGUGGCAAUGCCAAGCACAUGAGGUCCUAGUUGUAUGAACUUAGGAAAAGAAAAAGAGAACAUAUAUCCCCCUACCUUUUGAUUUCCAACAGUCUACUGAGAGGCCAAGAUUAUUUGCAGGGAAAGAAAAGGGGAAUGCCAUCCCCACCCUCUCGCAGCUACGUGCCAGUUCCAGAGCACCUGUUCCCCUCUACUUUGAAAAGGUCAAAAUGUUUUGCCAGUAACUCCCAAAUCAUCUACAGCCAAGGAGAAAAGUGUUUCAAGACAGAGGUGCUCAAUGGUAUCAAAUACUGCCAACAGACCAAGUAAUACAUGCAUUGAAGUGUCUACUGGAUCUAGCUAUAUGAUUCCACAGCUGUUUUAUAGUAACUCAGAGUUUGAAGAGAAAUUACUCCUGCAGUACCAGUUUCCAAAAUGCUUUGUAGCAUCUUCUCAAAAAACAAAUGGGAAGAAGCCAAUCAGAAAUAAGGAAUUUUUAAUUUAGGACACUUAGGCCAUACUGAAGCAAGGUGACAAAAUGAAUAGCUACAAUGUCUCGUGAAUCUUGGGUUUCCAUUCACCCUGGUAUUCAAGAGAAAUUCUUGCAUCAUGGAAGUUGCAGUUGGAUAGGACUUUCUCAGCUGAACACUGUCAUCUGCCAGAGCUUCAGGCAAGAACCCAGAACAGAUGAAACCCCAGACAUGACAAAAUAAGCCAAAGAAUACCAGGCCAAGGUGUGAAAGGCCAGAUGAGAACAAGCAGCGUACACGAUUCUGUUGCCAACAGAUCUCCCCUAACAGUGUCGUGCACCAAAUUUCCACAGUGAAUGUCAGGAAAAAAUGGCAAUUGAGGUGGGUGGUCAAAAGAGAAGCACAGUCUAUGAUGAAGUCACCCCAGAGAAGUCCUUUUUCCGUUUUCUCCUGAGAAAUUACCAGAAGAAAUUAAAAUCCU
Molecule: long non-coding RNA, 2239 nt
Filed under: Homo sapiens (human)
Lineage: Eukaryota; Metazoa; Chordata; Mammalia; Primates; Hominidae
Description: HSALNT0356412
Source: RNAcentral